GAUAGAGUAGCAGUUGUAGAGAGCGAGAGAGAGAGGGACAGUGAGAGAGCAGGAAGAGGUAGACGAAACAAAUCAUCUGACACAGAGUUUCAAGGAAACUACAGGAAGAAAAAAUGAAGGACUGGGGGAGAGUGAGUGAAUAGAGGAAAACUUGAAUAACAACUUCAAAAAACAGCGAGAAAGUUGACCGACAGUGGAAUGAGUAUUAGGAUAGAACAACACUGCUAACAGUGGAGGAGUGAAAGACGUCCCCAAAAAUGUUGACGCUCCCCAGAGAACCCCCCGAGGACAACAGGAUGCAGAGUUUCUGGAUGCAUGAUGCUGCCACCACCAUGCUUCACUGUAGGGAUGGUGCCAGGUUUCCUCCAGACGUGACGCUUGGCAUUCAGGCCAAAGAUAAUCUGAGAAUCUUUAGGUGAGAGUUUUCAGGUGUCUUUUGACAAACUCCAAGCGUGCUGUCAUGUGCCUUUUACUGAGGAAUGACUUCCAUCUGGCCACUCUACCAUAAAGCCCUGAUUGGUGAAGGUUCUCCUAUCUCCACAGAGGAACUGUAGAGCUCUGUCAGAGUGACCAUCGGGUUCUUGGUCACCUCCCUGACCAAGAAUGAGCGAUGAGCUGUCCUUUAAAGCAGGUGAAGUGUUCCUGAAGGUUGAGGAGGAGGAUGACCAGGGCUGGUGCAGGGGGAUGCUGGAUGGAGGAAAGGACGGCUUCUACCCAGCUAAUUACAUUGAGGCUGUUGUGCAGUGAUGAUGUCAUCCUGCCACGCCCACACUCAAGUGUUACCUCAAGUGUUACAAAAUGUGCAUGUGUUCAUUGACAAAUCCACUUUGGUGCAAAAACAAUUUAGAAUUUUGAGUUGACUUUGACAUCUCACCAAAAUAACCAUAAACAUGAAAUGUUAACGCCCACAAUGUUAUCAUAAUCAUCAUGCUGAAAUAUGCAAUGUACAUUUUUAUCUAAAGAUUGAUACCCUCAAUUAUCUAAUUUUAUAUCACCAAAUUUUUACAUUCUGGCACAAAGAACAAGAGGUAAAUGAGAGGUAAAUACAAAAAAUACUAUAGUAAGUGCCUAAUAAAUGCCAAAGUAAGUAAUGGGGUUGACCGUAACUUAACCAAUUAAUCUUAAAUCUGCCAUAAAUCGCCUUGUGACCUGGGGAAUGAAAGCUUGCUGUGUGCAACAGGGAGGGUCAAUUGAAUUCAAGCUUUGCUCUUGCAGGAAUCUCUCUGCUUCCACAUUGUCCUUGAAAAUCUUUUUCUUUCCCUUCCAAGUAGAGGGGUCGCUUGGAAUGCCAGUGUGUGUCUGACAUUCUUCCUUUGUAGUUGUUUCUUUGCCAUUGCAACCUUCUUCAUUGCCAGUUCCCUGGACAGGUCCAGGAAAAAGACAGCCAACGGUCUUCUCACUGAACAUCACCCUUUUCUUUCGUCUCUUUUUGUAUCUUGUCCCGGGCUUCAGAUCUUAGGAAGGAGAUGAGAACCGUUCUCCGGGGGCCCAAUCCUGUCAGGCAUAGUUAAACUGCGAUGGGUUUGUUCAAUUUCAAAUUCGUGCCUGUCGUCAAAUCCAAAUCCUUCUGCGAUGAUUUUGGUCCACCACCAGCCUCACUGCCCUCUUUCAGAUGAAUCAAUCUCACCGUAUUUCUCCUACUUCUGUUCUCAAGUUCUUCGACACGAUUCCACAAUUAUGUCCAGCUUUAUCUCGCGACUCUCAUUACCCUUCUCUAGAAGGGAGAUGGUAUCCUCCACGGUUGAAAUUCGUCCCACUGCCCCAUCAUCCUCUCUUGUAUCGCAUCAACUCUUUCCUUUAGCUCGGUAGUUCUUGUUUUUAUCGUGGAGACAUCAGACCGACCAUGAGAAAUGCUGCAACUGAAUAUGCAUUUUCUUGUUUGCUUAUGGCCCCAUAGACCCCUUUCUGUGCCAAGCUGUCAUCAAGGCAAAGGGUGGCUAUUUUGAAUAGUCUAAAAUAUGUCAGAUAUAUUUUUAUUUGUUGAACACAUUUUAUUUUGGUUGCUACAUGAUUCUAUGUGUGUUAUUUCAUAGUUUUGAUUUUUUAUUUAUUUAUUUUUAUUUAACCUUUAUUUAACCAGGUAGGCUAGUUGAGAACAAGUUCUCAUUUGCAACUGCGACCUGGAUAAAGCUUAGCAGUAUGAACAGACAACACAGAGUUACACAUGGAGUAAACAAUUAACAAGUCAAUAACACAGUACAAAAAAGGCGAGUCUAUAUACAUUGUGUGCAAAAGGCAUGAGGUGGUAGGCGAAUAAUUACAAUUUUGCAGAUUAGCACUGGAGUGAUAAAUGAUCAGAUGGUCAUGUACAGGUAGAGAUACUGGUGUGCAAAAGAGCAGAAAAGUAAAUAAAUAAAAACAGUGUGGGGAUGAGGUAGGUGAAAAUGGGUGGGUUAUUUACCAAUAGACUAUGUACAGCUGCAGCGAUCGGUUAGCUGCUCAGAUAGCACAUGUUUGAAGUUGGUGAGGGAGAUAAAAGUCUCCAAUGAUGAGAAAAUAGUCAAAAUAAAGAACCCCUGGAAUGAGUAGGUGUGUCCAAACAUUUGACUGGUACUGUAUAUGUGUAUUAAAAUGGUCAAAAGUUUAGUAUUUGGUCCCAUAUUCUUAGCACGCAAUGAUUACAUCAAGCUUGUGACUACAAACUUGUUGGAUGCAUUUGCUGUUUGUUUUACUUGUGUUUCAGAUUAUUUUUGUGCCCAAUAAAAACGAAUGUAUUGUGUCA
Molecule: long non-coding RNA, 2722 nt
Organism: Oncorhynchus masou masou (cherry salmon)
Lineage: Eukaryota; Metazoa; Chordata; Actinopteri; Salmoniformes; Salmonidae
Exons: 4
Source: RefSeq, a predicted model, not a curated record